CCUACGGGAGGCAGCAGUGAGGAAUAUUGGUCAAUGGGCGAGAGCCUGAACCAGCCAAGUAGCGUGAAGGAUGACUGCCCUAUGGGUUGUAAACUUCUUUUAUAAAGGAAUAAAGUGAGGCACGUGUGGGAUUUUGUAUGUACCAUAUGAAUAAGGAUCGGCUAACUCCGUGCCAGCAGCCGCGGUAAUACGGAGGAUCCGAGCGUUAUCCGGAUUUAUUGGGUUUAAAGGGAGCGUAGUGGGGUUGUUAAGUCAGUUGUGAACGUUUGCGGCUCAACCGUAAAAUUGCAUUUGAUACUGGCAGUCUUGAGUACAGUUGAGGUCGGCGGAUUUCGUGGUGUAGCGG
RNAcentral lists this ribosomal RNA (346 nucleotides) under uncultured bacterium. RNAcentral describes it as "partial 16S ribosomal RNA". It matches the Rfam family "Bacterial small subunit ribosomal RNA", at positions 338 to 681 of the family's 1533-position model. The record is from RNAcentral.